This is a non-coding RNA of Cicer arietinum (chickpea), 597 nucleotides long. The record is from RefSeq and is a predicted model, not a curated record. NCBI's taxonomy places the organism in Eukaryota, Viridiplantae, Streptophyta, Magnoliopsida, Fabales, Fabaceae.
AAAGUUCAUCCAUCACACACGCAUCUAUUACUAAACAAAUCUAUAUUAAAUAGCAGUAUUAUUAUUAAAUGGAAUACAACUAAUAAUUAGCUAAUGUGAAACAGUUGACGUGCGUGAAGAUAGAGAAAGCAUCAUACUUCUAUUACGCGAUAAAGAACACUGUAUAGUGUAUCAGACUAGCAAGAUAAACAAAUCAUGUUCAAAAGCCACAAGCAAGAAAUAGAUUUCACACAUCAUAAACUAAUCUCAAACAAAAUACUAACCACACAUCAAAAGAUUAUCUCAACCAAAACUCAAUUCACAUGUAACAAAACAAAAAUUUCACUUUUCAAUAAUAUACAGCUUUGAACAAGAGCAAACAUAAAGAAUGAGAAAAUACCAUUUUCCGGUGCGCGGUGGUGCACAUGUAUCAGGUUCUCUCGUCGGUUGUCGGUUGUUGUUACAGUGGGCUUGAGUAUGUUUAAGGUUAUGGGUUGAUGGGAUGAAAUAUGAUGGCAAAAACGAGGAACGAUUGUGUUCAUUGUAUAAACAUAAGUUCCGGAUCUUACAAUGGUUUUGCAACAUGGUCAAGCAACCUCAUACAAUUAAGGAAAAAAA